Molecule: ribosomal RNA, 800 nt
Filed under: Lactiplantibacillus plantarum
Lineage: Bacteria; Bacillati; Bacillota; Bacilli; Lactobacillales; Lactobacillaceae
Description: bacterial SSU rRNA
Rfam family: Bacterial small subunit ribosomal RNA
Source: RNAcentral
GUUUUUUAAGUCUGAUGUGAAAGCCUUCGCUCAACCGAAGAAGUGCAUCGGAAACUGGGAAACCUGAGUGCAGAAGAGGACAGUGGAACUCCAUGUGUAGCGGUGAAAUGCGUAGAUAUAUGGAAGAACACCAGUGGCGAAGGCGGCUGUCUGGUCUGUAACUGACGCUGAGGCUCGAAAGUAUGGGUAGCAAACGGAUUAGAUACCCUGGUAGUCCAUACCGUAAACGAUGAAUGCUAAGUGUUGGAGGGUUUCCGCCCUUCAGUGCUGCAGCUAACGCAUUAAGCAUUCCGCCUGGGGAGUACGGCCGCAAGGCUGAAACUCAAAGGAAUUGACGGGGGCCCGCACAAGCGGUGGAGCAUGUGGUUUAAUUCGAAGCUACGCGAAGAACCUUACCAGGUCUUGACAUACUAUGCAAAUCUAAGAGAUUAGACGUUCCCUUCGGGGACAUGGAUACAGGUGGUGCAUGGUUGUCGUCAGCUCGUGUCGUGAGAUGUUGGGUUAAGUCCCGCAACGAGCGCAACCCUUAUUAUCAGUUGCCAGCAUUAAGUUGGGCACUCUGGUGAGACUGCCGGUGACAAACCGGAGGAAGGUGGGGAUGACGUCAAAUCAUCAUGCCCCUUAUGACCUGGGCUACACACGUGCUACAAUGGAUGGUACAACGAGUUGCGAACUCGCGAGAGUAAGCUAAUCUUUUAAAGCCAUUCUCAGUUCGGAUUGUAGGCUGCAACUUGCCUACAUGAAGUCGGAAUCGCUUGUAAUCGCGGAUCAGCAUGCCGCGGUGAAUACGUUCCCGGGCC